Molecule: ribosomal RNA, 497 nt
Filed under: uncultured bacterium
Lineage: Bacteria
Description: partial 16S ribosomal RNA
Rfam family: Bacterial small subunit ribosomal RNA
Source: RNAcentral
GAUGAACGCUGGCGGCGUGCCUAAUACAUGCCAGUCGAGCGAACAGACGAGGAGCUUGCUCCUCUGACGUUAGCGGCGGACGGGUGAGUAACACGUGGAUAACCUACCUAUAAGACUGGGAUAACUUCGGGAAACCGGAGCUAAUACCGGAUAAUAUAUUGAACCGCAUGGUUCAAUAGUGAAAGACGGUUUUGCUGUCACUUAUAGAUGGAUCCGCGCCGCAUUAGCUAGUUGGUAAGGUAACGGCUUACCAAGGCAACGAUGCGUAGCCGACCUGAGAGGGUGAUCGGCCACACUGGAACUGCGACACGGUCCAGACUCCUACGGGAGGCAGCAGUAGGGAAUCUUCCGCAAUGGGCGAAAGCUUGACGGAGCAACGCCGCGUGAGUGAUGAAGGUCUUCGGAUCGUAAAACUCUGUUAUUAGGGAAGAACAAAUGUGUAAGUAACUAUGCACGUCUUGACGGUACCUAAUCAGAAAGCCACGGCUAACUACGUG